UCUCUUUUUGAACCAUAUAAGAUAGUGAAUAUUUUAAGAAGAAGACAAAUACCACCUCUUCUUAUAGAAGAAGAUAAUAAUUAAAAAUUUCACAUAGAAGAAGUCUUAGUUUUAAGAUGGUACCAAAUAUAUAUUAGAAUAUCUUGUUUAUUGGCAUGGAUAUGAUAUUAAUAAAUAUUAUCGUAAUAUGUGAAAUCUUGCUUGAAAAUGCUUUGGAUACUUGGUUGUGGAAGGUAGAAUGGAAAUUGCAAUAACAAAAUCUCAACUCUAAUAGAACACUAAAAUUGUUAAGCAAGCUUUAAUCAAAUUCAAAGAAACCUUAAAAUAAUUACAAAGUAAUAAUAAAAAAUCUUAAAAAAUAUAUUAGAAUGAUCACAAAUAUAUUCCAAAUAAAUCUUAAUUUAAUCCUAGUUAAAAUCCUAUCAGAUUUCAUUCAAACUUUAAGCCAAAAACUAACUAUAUCUUAAACCUUAAACAAUUCCUAAAUAAAUCCUAAACAAAUCCUAAAUUCUAAAUUAAAUACUAAUCAAACUUUAAAUUCUAAAUCAAUUCCUAAUAAAAUCCUAAUCAAAUCUUAAAUCCUAAAUUAAUUCCUAAUCAAAUCUUAAUCCUAAAUCAAAUCCUAACUAAAUCCUAAUCCUAAAUCAAAUCUUAACCAAAUCCUAAAUCUUAAAUCAAAACCUAAAUCAAAUCCUAAUUAAAUUCUAAAUCCUAAACUAAACUCUAAUCAAAUCCUAAAUCCUAAAUCCUAAACCAAAUCCUAACUAAAUCCUAAACUCUAAACCAAAUCCUAACCAAAUUCUAAUGCUAAUCAAAUCCUAACCAAAUCCUAAAUUCUAAAUCUUAAAUCUAAUCUUAACCAAAUUCUAAACCCUAAAUUAAAUCCUAAAUCCUAAAUCCUAAAUCAAAUCUUAAUGAAUUCUAAGUAAUUCCUACAAAAGAUUUGAAUUUCAAUAAUUAAUGAAUGAACCAUUGAUUUUAAUUCAAAAUUUGCACAUUUCUUAACAACUAAGUUCAUAACAAGUACAAAAAAAAAAAAAAAAAAAAAAAAAAAUGAUCGGAAUCACCAAAUAGAUGAUAACCUCAAAAACGUACUUGGAUAUUAGCUGGCCUCCUUCUCUAACCUUAAAGAGUGCUAUUGACUCUUUUUCACCAUUCAAUUGAUUUCAAAAUUUUCACAUACAUACAAAAAUAAGUCUACUAUUUUCAUACAUAAAUUUCACUUCAAUCCAACUAAAAGAUUGCAAAAAAACUUAAAAACCAUCAUUGGACCUAAAAUUCUACUUUCUGAGAUCUUGACCCACUUAAACCUCAAUAAUCCUCAAUUCAACUAUUAAAUCAAGCUAAAAUUCACAACACAUAUUAAGUACAACCAUAAC
This 1379-nucleotide long non-coding RNA is filed under the name Physcomitrium patens. RNAcentral describes it as "long non-coding RNA (PPAT_LNC004306)". Lineage: Eukaryota; Viridiplantae; Streptophyta; Bryopsida; Funariales; Funariaceae. The record is from RNAcentral.